RNAcentral lists this ribosomal RNA (265 nucleotides) under uncultured bacterium. RNAcentral describes it as "partial 16S ribosomal RNA". It matches the Rfam family "Bacterial small subunit ribosomal RNA", at positions 829 to 1085 of the family's 1533-position model. The record is from RNAcentral.
GUUCUGACGCUUGCACAGCCGAAGCAAAAGUGUUAAGUAGGCCGCCUGGGGAGUACGGUCGCAAGGCUAAAACUCAAAGGAAUUGACGGGGGCUCACACAAGCGGUGGAGCAUGUGGAUCAAUUCGAAGCAACGCGAAGAACCUUACCUGGGUUUGACAUGCCUGGAUGCUGCCUGCGAAAGUGGGUUAGCUGCCCUUCGGGGUGAAACGGGCACAGGUGCUGCAUGGCUGUCGUCAGCUCGUGUCGUGAGAUGUCGGGUUAAGU